This is a long non-coding RNA of Coregonus clupeaformis (lake whitefish), 377 nucleotides long. RefSeq lists it as uncharacterized. NCBI's taxonomy places the organism in Eukaryota, Metazoa, Chordata, Actinopteri, Salmoniformes, Salmonidae. The record is from RefSeq and is a predicted model, not a curated record. The transcript is spliced from 3 exons.
CUCUCCAGACCCCCUAACCCUCCUCUUCCUGUAUGUCUCUCUCCAGAGUUCCGCCCGGUGAGCCAUGGAAGGUUUACCCCAACAUCGACCCUGAGACUGACCCUUUCGUGACCCCUGGUAGUGUCAUCAACAACCUCUCCAUCAACACCGUCCUCCACGUGAGACCACCACAGAGACCUGACAGGACCAUCCUCAUCACUGAACACCACGAUGCCUUCUAACAGUGCCUGGCCAUCUAUUCGUGCCUCCAGCCACAGUGGUUCCCUCACCAGUACAACACAAAGCACUUCAGCCAGGUCCAGUGAGUCUAAAUGGUGUCCAGGAGGGUCUAACACAUCUCUGGCCCAUGAGCUGUGGAAGGUCCCUCUGGCUCCUAA